Molecule: long non-coding RNA, 1606 nt
Filed under: Mus musculus (house mouse)
Lineage: Eukaryota; Metazoa; Chordata; Mammalia; Rodentia; Muridae
Description: RIKEN cDNA 9530059O14 gene
Source: RNAcentral
GCUCGCUCGAGCUCGGCGCGGACCCGCCCGGGAGCGCUCCUCGCAGCAGCUGCCCGGGUUCCCACCGCCCUACCGGGCGCGAGCGAUCAGACUACCUCGGAGGGCGCGCUCAGACACCCAGAUGUCCGGCCACCUCAGUGGGUACCCUCGGCACCCUGUGAUCCGACCACCCGCGGAGGCGCGCUAGCCCUCUGGGUGGGCGUGCUGGGCUUCUCUGCGGCGGAAGUCUGGACCACAGAUUGUGACUUCUUUUCUAGCAGUAGGUGUUGACUGGUCCGACUGCUGCCCUUCUGCCCAAGAGUAGUUCAAACUGACCAGGUGUGACAUGGGCCCAAGGGAUGGACACAUGUCCAGUGCUGAUCACCCUGUUCCUUCUAGGUCUGACUGUGUUGUUCUGGAAGGGAAGAAAACAUAUGUGCUGCUUGGUCUGCCAUCUUAAACCAGAAGUCUGAAAUACGGGUCUGAAUGCUGCUCGCAAGGAUAUCUUACAUUGAGGAUAGCAGGCACCAGAGACUCUGUACCAUAAACAUUUCCACAAGAAACGGCCUCUAACUGAACCUGGAACUCACUGACUGAACUCGAGUUGCUGUUGAGAAAGCCCCAGGGACUGUUUGGUCUUCUCCCGCUCAAAAUUUGCGAUGCAGUGCCUCCUCAGGCCCAUCAAAGUCUUCCAGGAUCACGCAGAGGACCAUGCCACAGUCGGAAGUGAGGUAAACAAGUCUCCUCAUUGCUAUAUUUUGUAAUUAUCAGACAAGAGAGUGGAGUUCCCGCCUGAAGCCCCUCAGGCCUGUGUGAAGCUUAACCAUGUAUGUACUCAAUGUAGGUGUGAUCAGUUUUCAGAUCCAUGCAAAUGUGAGCUGACUUUCCCCUGAUGUUUGCUGAGUGCAUGCCAACAGCAUUCUGCAUGGCUAACCUGCCUCAGCAACCAAAUCCCUGGAACUGUCAUAUGCAGAGGGUCUGUGGUGUGGCCAUUUUAUAAAUGAGCCACGGGAAGGCCAGAGAAAGAAACAGCAUGCUCCAAGUCAGAGCAGAAGGCAGCUUCCCUAGGAUCUGUUUAAUGUUUGCUUCUUUACAACACAGGAUCUCGUGAAACCCAAGCUAGCCUCAGACUCAACUGCAUAGCUGAGGAUACCCUUGAACUUGAUUCUCUAAUAUUUCUACCUCAUACCCAGUUCAUGAGGUAAUGCGGAUAGAACCCAGGGCUUCCUGAAUACUAGGAAGGCACUCUACCAACUGAGCUACAUCCCCAGAUCCUCCUCUGGGGAUAAGCCCAGGUUCAAAUCCAAGGCCUUAACAACAUCGGGACACGGACAUAAGACACAGCACUCUACUGGACCUGGGCAUGCUCCUACCCUGUCUAGUGAUCGCAAAAGCCAUCUUUUUAACAGCCCGCGUUAUGAUUCUACCAUCAGACCAGAGAGGCCCUAGAUAGCCCAGCUUCCCAUUGUAAGUCAUCUUCGACAUGUUUAACCGAUGGCUGUGUGGGACUGCUAGAAAGUUUGGAAAUCACCAAGCGCUUUGACUUUCCUGCCCACAAAAACAGUUGGCCUUGGCAGAUGUCCAACGCGUUGACCUUAGAUCCAUUUAAUGAAAACCCUAUUAAUUC